AGUUAUAUAGUUUAAAUUUAAUAAAAUAUUAAUUUUGUAAAUUAAUGAUAAGAAUUUUUAUAACUA
This 66-nucleotide transfer RNA is filed under the name Microplitis incurvatus. RNAcentral's name for it is "tRNA-Thr". The record is from RNAcentral. Lineage: Eukaryota; Metazoa; Arthropoda; Insecta; Hymenoptera; Braconidae.